RNAcentral lists this ribosomal RNA (417 nucleotides) under uncultured bacterium. RNAcentral describes it as "bacterial SSU rRNA". It matches the Rfam family "Bacterial small subunit ribosomal RNA", at positions 356 to 773 of the family's 1533-position model. The record is from RNAcentral.
GGGGAAUCUUGCGCAAUGGGAGCAAUCCUGACGCAGCGACGCCGCGUGGGGGAGGAAGGGCUUCGGCUCGUAAACCCCUGUCGCCCGGGGCGAACCUCUGGUUUCGACCAGACUGACGGUACCGGGUGAGGAAGCACCGGCUAACUCCGUGCCAGCCGCCGCGGUAAUACGGAGGGUGCGAGCGUUGUCCGGAAUCACUGGGCGGAAAGGGCGCGUAGGUGGCCGAGCAAGGUCGCGGUGAAAGCCCGGGGCUCAACCCCGGGUCGGCCGUGGCAACUACUUGGCUCGAGCACUGUAGGGGCGGGUGGAAUUCCGGGUGUAGCGGUGGAAUGCGUAGAGAUCCGGAAGAACACCGGUGGCGAAGGCGGCCUGCUGGGCAGUUGCUGACACUGAGGCGCGACAGCGUGGGGAGCAAAC